GACGAACGCUGGCGGCGUGCCUAAUACAUGCAAGUAGAACACUGAAGAGAGGAGCUUACUCUUCUUGGAUGAGUUGCGAACGGGUGAGUAACGCGUAGGUAACCUGCCUUGUAGCGGGGGAUAACUAUUGGAAACGAUAGCUAAUACCGCAUAACAAUGGAUGACACAUGUCAUUUAUUUGAAAGGGGCAAUUGCUCCACUACAAGAUGGACCUGCGUUGUAUUAGCUAGUAGGUGAGGUAAUGGCUCACCUAGGCGACGAUACAUAGCCGACCUGAGAGGGUGAUCGGCCACACUGGGACUGAGACACGGCCCAGACUCCUACGGGAGGCAGCAGUAGGGAAUCUUCGGCAAUGGGGGCAACCCUGACCGAGCAACGCCGCGUGAGUGAAGAAGGUUUUCGGAUCGUAAAGCUCUGUUGUAAGUCAAGAACGGGUGUGAGAGUGGAAAGUUCACACUGUGACGGUAGCUUACCAGAAAGGGACGGCUAACUACGUG
Molecule: ribosomal RNA, 497 nt
Filed under: uncultured bacterium
Lineage: Bacteria
Description: partial 16S ribosomal RNA
Rfam family: Bacterial small subunit ribosomal RNA
Source: RNAcentral